AUGGUGGUGAUGGCCACCGUGAUGCUUUCCUGUGACGCUGAAAGAGAUUACUGUGUUACGGUUUAUGAUGUACCAUGCACGCGCGACAAGUGCGUGCCUCUAUGUGCUCAAACUGGUUUCACAAAAAAUCCCCACUGCUUCACCGAAGACAAGUGCUGUUGUCAGAUGGACUUGGAGCCCAUGGUCGCCGCAGAUAAGUAUGAUCAAAGAAGGAGGCAUGCCUUCGUUGUCGAGUCCUUCCUGAGUAACAUGUUCAGUCCUUGUCCAACAUCGUCAAUCCCUACUCGUCGUAACGAUAGCAAACGACAAACAAUAAAUACCAAAGCAAUAGCAAAUCCAAAUGACAUGCAAACAAUUCAAGAGUGGAUGGAUAGCAAGAUAUUGAUCAAGAUGGAGACUCUGAAAGGAGAUAGCAUGAUUGGAAGGUAA
Molecule: ribosomal RNA, 429 nt
Filed under: Triticum aestivum (bread wheat)
Lineage: Eukaryota; Viridiplantae; Streptophyta; Magnoliopsida; Poales; Poaceae
Description: partial small subunit ribosomal RNA
Source: RNAcentral